RNAcentral lists this ribosomal RNA (532 nucleotides) under uncultured bacterium. Its description in RNAcentral is "bacterial SSU rRNA". It matches the Rfam family "Bacterial small subunit ribosomal RNA", at positions 386 to 918 of the family's 1533-position model. The record is from RNAcentral.
AUGCAGCGACGCCGCGUGCGGGGAUGAAGGGGCUUAGCCUCGUAAACCGCUGUCGGAGGGGACGAAUGGUACAUUUGAUGUACUGAGAGGUACCCCUCAAAGGAAGGAUCGGCUAACUACGUGCCAGCAGCCGCGGUAAUACGUAGGAUCCGAGCGUUGUCCGGAAUUACUGGGUGUAAAGGGUGCGUAGGCGGACUUGUGCGUCAGAGGUGAAAUCCACGGGCUUAACCCGUGGGGUGCCUUUGAUACGGCAAGUCUUGAGUGCGAGUGAGGUGGGUGGAAUUCCUGGUGUAGCAGUGAAAUGCGUAGAUAUCAGGAGGAACACCCGAUGGCGAAGGCAGCCCACCGGCUCGCAACUGACGCUGAGGCACGAAAGCGUGGGGAUCAAACAGGAUUAGAUACCCUGGUAGUCCACGCCUUAAACGAUGUAUGCUUGGUGUUGGGUCGCAAGACUCAGUGCCGGAGGAAACCUAUUAAGCAUACCACCUGGGGAGUACGAUCGCAAGGUUGAAACUCAAAGGAAUUGACGGGG